UACGUAGGGUGCUAGCGUUGCUCGGAAUUACUGGGCGUAAAGGGAGCGUAGGCGGACAUUUAAGUCAGGGGUGAAAUCCCGGGGCUCAACCUCGGAAUUGCCUUUGAUACUGGGUGUCUUGAGUAUGAGAGAGGUAUGUGGAACUCCGAGUGUAGAGGUGAAAUUCGUAGAUAUUCGGAAGAACACCAGUGGCGAAGGCGACAUACUGGCUCAUUACUGACGCUGAGGCUCGAAAGCGUGGGGAGCAAACAGG
This 253-nucleotide ribosomal RNA is filed under the name uncultured bacterium. Its description in RNAcentral is "partial 16S ribosomal RNA". It matches the Rfam family "Bacterial small subunit ribosomal RNA", at positions 524 to 776 of the family's 1533-position model. The record is from RNAcentral.